AGUGAACGCUGGCGGUAGGCCUAACACAUGCAAGUCGAACGGCAGCACAGUAAGAGCUUGCUCUUACGGGUGGCGAGUGGCGGACGGGUGAGGAAUACAUCGGAAUCUACUUUUUCGUGGGGGAUAACGUAGGGAAACUUACGCUAAUACCGCAUACGACCUACGGGUGAAAGCAGGGGAUCUUCUGACCUUGCGCGAUUGAAUGAGCCGAUGUCGGAUUAGCUAGUUGGCGGGGUAAAGGCCCACCAAGGCGACGCUCCGUAGCUGGUCUGAGAGGAUGAUCAGCCACACUGGAACUGAGAAACGGUCCAGACUCCUACGGGAGGCAGCAGUGGGGAAUAUUGGACAAUGGGCGCAAGCCUGAUCCAGCCAUACCACGUGGGUGAAGAAGGCCUUCGGGUUGUAAAGCCCUUUUGUUGGGAAAGAAAAGCAGCAGGUUAAUACCCCGCUGUUCUGACGGUACCCAAAGAAUAAGCACCGGCUAACUUCGUG
RNAcentral lists this ribosomal RNA (492 nucleotides) under uncultured bacterium. RNAcentral describes it as "partial 16S ribosomal RNA". It matches the Rfam family "Bacterial small subunit ribosomal RNA", at positions 29 to 507 of the family's 1533-position model. The record is from RNAcentral.